This 460-nucleotide ribosomal RNA is filed under the name uncultured bacterium. RNAcentral describes it as "partial 16S ribosomal RNA". It matches the Rfam family "Bacterial small subunit ribosomal RNA", at positions 338 to 795 of the family's 1533-position model. The record is from RNAcentral.
CCUACGGGUGGCAGCAGUGAGGAAUAUUGGUCAAUGGACGCAAGUCUGAACCAGCCAAGCCGCGUGCGGGAAGAAGGCUCUAUGAGUCGUAAACCUCUUUUGUACGAGGGCAAACGCAGGUACGCGUCUCUGUCUGAAAGUAUCUGACGAAAAAGCAUCGGCUAACUCCGUGCCCGCAGCCGCGGUAAUACGGAGGAUUCAAGCGUUUGCCGGAUUUAAUGGGUUUAAAGGGUUCGUAGGCGGUCGGGUAAGUCCGAGGGUAAAUCCCGGGGCUUAACGUCGGACCUGCCGUUGAUACUGUUCGUCGAGAGAGUGCUUGAAGUAGGCGGAAUGUGUGGUGUAGCGGUGAAAUGCAUAGAGAUCACACAGAACCCCGAUUGCGAAGGCAGCUUACCAGGUUCCUUCUGACGUUGAGGCACGAAAGCGUGGGGAGCGAACAGGAUUAGAUACCCCUGUAGUC